Molecule: long non-coding RNA, 273 nt
Filed under: Anas platyrhynchos platyrhynchos (common mallard)
Lineage: Eukaryota; Metazoa; Chordata; Aves; Anseriformes; Anatidae
Description: lncRNA (ENSAPLG00000030511.1)
Source: RNAcentral
GAAGCUACUGAGCAAGUGUCAUUUCCUCUUAACACUCGUCUGUCUUUCAGUUGUGACCUAAAUUCCAGUGAAGUACUUGAAAUCUUUAAGAUUAGUUACUAUGAAUUUCCAUCUAAGACAAAUAUACUUAACUGAAAGGAAAUGUCUUUGGCUAGUUUUCAAUAUAAACAGGAAAACAGAAAACUGUCUGAAGACUUUGUCCACAUAACACACUGCUUUAACUUCUCGUGAUUUAAAACAUAAGGAAGAAAAGUCUAGUCUGCUAUACUGAAU